Molecule: ribosomal RNA, 660 nt
Filed under: uncultured bacterium
Lineage: Bacteria
Description: bacterial SSU rRNA
Rfam family: Bacterial small subunit ribosomal RNA
Source: RNAcentral
AGUGGCGGACGGGUGAGUAACGCGUGAGAAUCUGCCUUGGGGUCGGGGACAACCACUGGAAACGGUGGCUAAUACCGGAUACGCCUUCGGGUAAAAGAUUUAUUGCCCUAAGAGGAGCUCGCGUCUGAUUAGCUAGUUGGUGAGGUAAGAGCUCACCAAGGCAGCGAUCAGUAGCUGGUCUGAGAGGACGAUCAGCCACACCGGGACUGAGACACGGCCCAGACUCCUACGGGAGGCAGCAGUGGGGAAUUUUCCGCAAUGGGCGAAAGCCUGACGGAGCAAGACCGCGUGAGGGAGGAAGGCUCUUGGGUUGUAAACCUCUUUUCUCAGGGAAGAAGCUCUGACGGUACCUGAGGAAUCAGCCUCGGCUAACUCCGUGCCAGCAGCCGCGGUAAUACGGAGGAGGCAAGCGUUAUCCGGAAUUAUUGGGCGUAAAGCGUCCGCAGGUGGCGAUUCAAGUCUGCUGUCAAAGCACGGGGCUUAACUCCGUAAAGGCAGUGGAAACUGAAUAGCUAGAGUGCCGUAGGGGUAGAGGGAAUUCCCGGUGUAGCGGUGAAAUGCGUAGAGAUCGGGAAGAACAUCGGUGGCGAAAGCGCUCUACUGGACGGCAACUGACACUCAGGGACGAAAGCUAGGGGAGCGAAUGGGAUUAGAUACCCC